Molecule: long non-coding RNA, 4650 nt
Filed under: Homo sapiens (human)
Lineage: Eukaryota; Metazoa; Chordata; Mammalia; Primates; Hominidae
Description: non-protein coding lnc-SDE2-1:5
Source: RNAcentral
ACAAACACAAAAGACACGCUGAGGGGCCGCCGGCUCCCGCCGAGACUGCCGCCCGCACCCGGCCAGCCCCCGCCCCCGGCCCUGCACUCCCAUCCCGCUCCGUGUGCGCACGGCGUCGAACCCCCGAAGCCCGGGUUUGGGGCGCCCGGAGGGAAGUGGGGGGAGGGGAAGGCGGGCGGAGGCGCGGCGGGUGAACGCCCGGCCUGCGGGCGUCUCGGGCCGCGGCGGGGAGGGGAGGGAGGGGCUGCCCCCGCGCGGGCCCCGGCGCGCGCCCCCGAGGAGACCCGGGCGGCAGUGGGGGAGGAGGACGCGGUCGGCCGGGUCGCCGCGCCCCAUUGGAAAACGCUCCCCAGCAGGAAGCUGGCAAAUAGGAAUCCAGCGUCCCGCGCCCGCUGUCGGACCUGGCCGCUGCGGCAGCGGGAGGGGCGGACCGACGGCCUCCUUCCCGCCUGCGCGCUCGGCCAAGUGCGGCCGGGUCCUGCGGGACCGGCCCGAGUCCGCCGUAGACAACUUGAUCCGCUAAGACUCCUGGGCCGGCCGCCUGCGUGCAGGGCAGCCCCUCGCCGGUGUUGGCCUCCGGGAUCAGGGGACGGGGCUCGCUCUCCUCCCGGGCCCGGGCCCCCGACGCAAGAUGGCUGUGUCGCGUCGGCCUCUAAACAAUGUGUGGAGCGCGCAGCUCCUGCACCAGGGCCUGGUGGCUUGUCCUGCCCGCCCGUGGGGGCCGUGUGAUCUGUUUUCGGUAGGAUUGCUUUGGAAAGGAAUUGCCGAAUAUAGAUAGUCAAAUGUCCGCAGCUUCUGCAUAGUUUAGAAGAGGCUGAAAACGGCAGAAAGAAGGCAAACGUGGUUUGGGAAUUAGUACAUAUACCUGUUUUCCAAUUCUCAGUAGCAUAGGAAACGGACUUUUCAUGGCCCAAGUUAUCCUCACGACUUGUCAGUUGAUUGGCUUUGGAACCUCUGAACCGUCCCUAGAUGGUAUUGACGCUUCACAACUGUGUGUAAAGGUUUUCAAUGGAAGGGUCAUGCAAAUAUCCCGUAGGGUAGUGAAGGAGGAAAAUUUCAUAAAUGAAGGGCAGUAAUUAUUUGUAAUCUGAAGAUCUCACAAAGCGGCUUAGUGAUAAACAUUAUCCCGAAACAGAUACAUGGAAAUCAGAUACGAGGGAAGAAAUGGAUUUGUCCAAGGUCACUUAAGUGAGGAAGAGACCUAGGAGAAACAAACAGACAAAAAUCCAGGCCUCCCGUUUCAUUAUUAUUUCAUGAAUGUUAAGUGUCCAUGGUUGCUGUGCAGAACACAUGCAAUCUCUAAUCCUAUCCUAAAAGCACAUAUGCAAUCAGCUUGGACCGAGCUGCCAGCAAAGAAUUUCCUAUAAUUCAAGCCAAGAUGAGUUAUUUUGCUUGUUUUUUGUUUUGUUUUCAGGAAACCGAAAUAUUUAUUGUUGGAUUUAUCCAGGAAGGCUGUUCUGCAUUAGUUAAAUGCAUCAUAUCUUCAAGAAAUGUUAAAUGACAUGGGUAAUGUUUUCUUUGUAUGCUGGAUUUUUCAAUAGCUUCUACUUCUUGGCUUUAAAAAAUAUUUCUAACCAAGGGUCAGACCAUUUUAGGUAGAGUAAUUAUGAUCUUAGAUGAUUUGAACUAACUCAGCUGUCUGUCCAUUUGUGAAAUGGGAAUAAUAAUAUUUAUCUCUAUGAAGUUAGGCCACAAAUUCUUUCUAGUAGGUUCAAGUAUUUAAGCACCUGGAGAGGUGACUGGUUACCCUCCUAGUGGCUUCAGGAAGUUUUCUCACUGAAUGAAUAUUUAUUGAGUGCCAACUCUGCUCAGCACAAUUCAGGGGUGCUGGGAAUGCAGCAGUGAAUAACACAAGCAGUGUUCCUGCCCUCAUGGGGCUUAUGAUCUCUGGAAGCACUGCUUUGCACAGGGAAGUAGCACCAGGAGGGGGUAAAGAAAGAGGGACUUUGGAGCCCCAAGAUUGGCAAAAACUAUAGCUAAUGAGAGAGGUGAACUGUAGAGUCUAGAUAAUGGGGAAGGAGAGGUGCCAGAGCAAGAAGGGAUUCUCACAGGGCCCUACGGGUCAGUCCUGAAUUGGCUUUACUAGAACUCAGGCCCAGCACAAUGGCUCACAUCUGUAAUCCCAGCGCUUUGGGAGGCCGAGGUGGGUGGAUCACUUGAGAUCAGGAGUUUGAGACCAACCUGGCCAACCUGGAGAAACCCUGUCUCUACUAAAAAUAAAAAUUAGCCGUCAUGGUGGCACACGUCUGUAAUCCUAGCUACUUGGGAGGCUGAAGUGGGAGGAUUGCUUGAAUUUGGGAGGUGGAGGUUGCAGUGAGCCGAAAUUUUGCCACUGCACUUCAGCCUGGGCAACAGUAAGACUCCAUCUCAGAAAAAAAAAAAAAUAGAAUUCUUGGGCUAAUAAUGGCCUCAACAUUUGCAGUUAAAAAAGAAAUGGGGAGGAUGGGAGCAAAAGGUUUUAAGUUAAAAUAUUUUCCUUAGAAUAGAGUACUUAUGGCCAUGAAUUUAGAUUUGUUUAUAAGUAGAAAAGUAGAAUGGAAAGGAUUUUAAAAGCAACGCUAUUCAUAUCUGCUUGGCUCCUGUCAAUCAACUGCAAAGAUUACUGCCUCAUGGAGAUGCUUCUGGUCACUGUAAUGCUAUCUCCAUGCACACUUUAUCACAUUGAUUUCACAUCACCUUUUUAUCACAUUGAUUUACAUCUAUCAUUUGUUCACUUGCUUAUUGUCCAGUUCCUCCCCAAAGAAUAUAACCUCUGAGGUAAUGGUGGUCUUGUCUGUUUUUUCUCCUGUCCCUGAUCAUUUGCUGUACCUUUUUAUUAGGUGAUCUCAUCCAGUUACAUGGAAAUUAUCAUGUAGAAAAAUAGAAUAAAACAAUGAACCCCUUGUACCCAUCUUUAGAAAUUACUGACUCAUGACCAAUAUUGGGUUCCCUCUAUACUCUACUCACUUCUACCUCACCGAUUUGAAUUAUUUUGAAGCAAAUCCCAGCCUGCAUUAUUUCAUCUGUAGAUAAUUUAGUAUGUAUCAUAGGAGUCAAAUAGAUGAUUGAUGUGCCCCUUAAAUCUCUUAUAAUCUACAGAUUCUUUCUCUGUAUUUGUACUUUGUUGAAAAAUAUGGAUUGGCCAGGCGUGGUGGCUCACACUUGUAAUCCCAGCACUUUGGGAGGCUGAGGUGGGCUGAUCACUUGAGGUCAGGAGUUGGAGACCACCUUGGCCAACAUGGCGAAACCCUAUCUCUACUAAAAAUACAAAAAUUAGCCAGGCGUGGUGGCUCACGCCUGUAGUCCCAGCUACUUGGGAGGCUGAGGUAGGAGAAUUGCUUGAACCCCAGGAGGCGGAGGUUGCAGUGAGCAGAGACUGCGCCACUGCACUCCAGUCUGGGCGACAGAGCAAGACUCCGUCUCAAACAAAAGAAAAAUAUGGAUCAUUUAUCCUGAGGCUUUGGAUCCACACUGUCUAAAACUGUCCUUUCCCUCAGUCUUGUCCAGUAAAUAGCACUACCAUUUACUCAACUCAAACCAAAAAGUACAGACAGCCUCCUUGAGCCUCUUUUUCUUUCACCCCGAUAGCCAGUCUAUUGGUCUUGCUCUGAAAUGCUUAUCAGAAUGACCUACUCCUCUUCUCAUCUCUUACCUGCCCUUCAACAGUAACUUUCUGUAUGACCUUUCUCUUUCCACUCCUGCACCUCUGUAUUUUAUUUGCUACCAAGCAGACACAGAUUAGAUUAUAGAAUAUAAAUCAGAUUAGGUUGCAUUCUUGCUUAAUCCAUUCAGUGGCCUCCCACUGCUCUUGGUUAAAUUCCACAUGUGUGGGCCCUGGCAUUACCCCUCUUUCCCCUCCGCACUGUGCUGCAGACUAGCCACCCCUGGUCCAUCAAGUCCUCCUCUGCCUUAGGAUCAUUGCAUCUGUUCUUUCUGAAGCUUGAAUUCUCUUCCACCAGCUUUUGAUAGGACUGUCUCACCAUCUUCUAAGGCAAACUUUCUAACCUUUCCCAUGUCAUUUUCUUCUUAGAAAAUGAUCAUAUUUGGCCAGGUGCAGUGGCUCACACCUCUAAUCCCUGCACUUUGGGAGGCCGAGGUUGGUGAAUCACCUGAGGUCAGGAGUUCGAGACCAACCUGGCCAAUAUAAUGAAACCCCGUCUCUACUAAAAAUAUAAAAAAUUAGCCAGGCAUGGUCGUGGGCACUUGUAAUCCCAGCUACUUGGGAGGCCUGAGGCAGGAGAAUCACUUGAACCCGGGAGGUGGAGGUUGCAGUGAGCUGAGAUCACACCACUGCACUCCAGCCUGGGCAACAAGAGCGAAACUCCAUGUCAAAAAAAAAAAGAAGAAAAUGAUCAUAUUUGUAAGUUGCACCGAGGAUUAGUGGAGGGUAUUUGGAGCCACUCAUAUGGAACUUGAUUUUUAAAUUUGGGCUUGGCAUGGUAGCUCAAGCCUGUAAUCCCAGCACUUUUUUAUUUGUUUGUUUGUUUAUUUUUUUUUUUUUUGAGACAAGAGUUUUGCUCUUGUUGCCCAGGCUGGAGUGCAGUGGCUCGAUCUCGGCUCACUGCAACCUCUACCUCCCGAGUUCAAGCGAUUCUCCUGCCUCAGCCUCCUGAGCAGCUGGGAUUACAGACAUGCACCACCAGUUCUGGCUAAUUUUGUGUUAUUAGUAGA